UGGACCUGAAGAAAAACAAGCUAUGGACUAUCUUCUGUCUCAUGCUAGCAGUGGAAUAGGAAAAGGACUCAAAAGACUUCUACUGGCCAUAAUGAAGUACCUGUUACUAUAUUUGCUUUCCUACCAUAAGCAACUAUAAAACUGGACAAUAUAUAGGCAACUGAUCUCAUGCAUUUCAAGCAGCACAGGAUUCUGAUAAUUAACAGAAGGAAAGCACAUGAGCCAACUUUUAAUUUCAACAGAUAGAGUUGCCUCUUGUAGUCAUGAUAUUUCCUCUCCAGUAACAAAGGCUUGAGAAAUCAUAAGAACACUAAUAAUUAAUGCACUGUAGAUAAUACUGGAGGCUGCCAUGGGAGAAGUCUGCACAAAAAGAGCAAGUUUAAGAGCUUCAGGAGUCAUAAAUGGCUUGAGAAGAUUAUGCUAGAGAUUGAAGCAGAUGGAAGAUUCUAGAAACAGAAAGCAUUCUUUUCAUUGGUUCCCGAAGGCAAAAAUGAAUUGUACUCUUCUUAUACAUGUUGCUGCUUUCAAGAUUUCCAUUUUACACCAUUGAUGGGCCUUAGUUUUUGGGUUGUCUACAAAGUCAAGUUUCUCUUAUUUGGAAAACCUGAAUAUAGCCUUGCAGUACAAAGCACUGGUCAUGCUGUCCACUUUCAGAAGAUGGCAUGGAAUUCACAGCAACAAGAAAUGUUUUGGAAUGCUGGCAAAGGAGCAGAAAACAGUGUUCUCCCCACACAUUUAGAAAAAUAAAG
RNAcentral lists this long non-coding RNA (749 nucleotides) under Homo sapiens (human). Its description in RNAcentral is "long intergenic non-protein coding RNA 1013". The record is from RNAcentral. Lineage: Eukaryota; Metazoa; Chordata; Mammalia; Primates; Hominidae.